RNAcentral lists this unclassified non-coding RNA (304 nucleotides) under uncultured Agaricales. RNAcentral describes it as "sequence contains 5.8S rRNA gene, ITS2, 28S rRNA gene". The stretch from base 1 to 52 matches the Rfam family "5.8S ribosomal RNA", at positions 103 to 154 of the family's 154-position model. Lineage: Eukaryota; Fungi; Basidiomycota; Agaricomycetes; Agaricales. The record is from RNAcentral.
AACGCACCUUGCGCCCCUUGGUAUUCCGAGGGGCAUGCCUGUUUGAGUGUCAGUAAAUUCUCAACUUUUCAGGUUUUCCUUGUGAUGCCUGGCAAAGCUUGGACUUGGAGCGUGCUGGCUUCUUGCGAGGUCAGCUCCUCUUUAAAUGCAUUAGCGAAACCUCUUGUGGAUCAGCUUUGGUGUGAUAAUUAUCUACGCCGUCGCUGUGACGCAACUCGUGAAGGCUUUGCUUCCAAAUCCACGUUCCCUUUGGGACGAUUGACAAUUUGACCUCAAAUCAGGUAGGACUACCCGCUGAACUUAA